Molecule: ribosomal RNA, 762 nt
Filed under: Sporidiobolales sp. LM119
Lineage: Eukaryota; Fungi; Basidiomycota; Microbotryomycetes; Sporidiobolales
Description: bacterial SSU rRNA
Rfam family: Eukaryotic small subunit ribosomal RNA (bases 1-358)
Source: RNAcentral
AGAGUUCUGGGCCGCACGCGCGCUACACUGACAGAGCCAGCGAGUCUACCACCUUUGCCGGAAGGCAUGGGUAAUCUUGUGAAACUCUGUCGUGAUGGGGAUAGAACAUUGCAAUUAUUGUUCUUCAACGAGGAAUACCUAGUAAGCGUGAUUCAUCAGAUCGCGUUGAUUACGUCCCUGCCCUUUGUACACACCGCCCGUCGCUACUACCGAUUGAAUGGCUUAGUGAGGCCUCCGGAUUGGCUAUUGGGAGCUCGCGAGAGCACCCGACUGCCGAGAAGUUGUACGAACUUGGUCAUUUAGAGGAAGUAAAAGUCGUAACAAGGUUUCCGUAGGUGAACCUGCGGAAGGAUCAUUAGUGAAUAUAGGACGUCCAACUUAACUUGGAGUCCGAACUCUCACUUUCUAACCCUGUGCACUUGUUUGGGAUAGUAACUCUCGCAAGAGAGCGAACUCCUAUUCACUUAUAAACACAAAGUCUAUGAAUGUAUUAAAUUUUAUAACAAAAUAAAACUUUCAACAACGGAUCUCUUGGCUCUCGCAUCGAUGAAAAACGCAGCGAAAUGCGAUAAGUAAUGUGAAUUGCAGAAUUCAGUGAAUCAUCGAAUCUUUGAACGCACCUUGCGCUCCAUGGUAUUCCGUGGAACAUGCCUGUUUGAGUGUCAUGAAUACUUCACCCUCCUCUUUCUUAAUGAUUGAAGAAGUGUUUGGGUUCUGAACGCUGCUGGCCUUUACGGGCUAACUCGUUCGUAAAGGCAUUAC